CAAGGCGACGAUCCCUAGCUGGUCUGAGAGGAUGACCAGCCACACUGGAACUGAGACACGGUCCAGACUCCUACGGGAGGCAGCAGUGGGGAAUAUUGCACAAUGGGCGCAAGCCUGAUGCAGCCAUGCCGCGUGUAUGAAGAAGGCCUUCGGGUUGUAAAGUACUUUCAGCGGGGAGGAAGGUGUUGUGGUUAAUAACCGCAGCAAUUGACGUUACCCGCAGAAGAAGCACCGGCUAACUCCGUGCCAGCAGCCGCGGUAAUACGGAGGGUGCAAGCGUUAAUCGGAAUUACUGGGCGUAAAGCGCACGCAGGCGGUCUGUCAAGUCGGA
RNAcentral lists this ribosomal RNA (331 nucleotides) under Salmonella enterica subsp. enterica serovar Berta. Its description in RNAcentral is "partial 16S ribosomal RNA". It matches the Rfam family "Bacterial small subunit ribosomal RNA", at positions 269 to 592 of the family's 1533-position model. Lineage: Bacteria; Pseudomonadati; Pseudomonadota; Gammaproteobacteria; Enterobacterales; Enterobacteriaceae. The record is from RNAcentral. RNAcentral also lists the same sequence under 3 other names.